CCUGUCGUCGCCCCCGCGCCUGGGAUGCGGCCUCUCGGGUCGUAGUCACCCUCGCCCGCGCCUCCGCCCACCACCGCCCCGUUCCCGGUCGCUGCCGCCACCGCCGGGGCUCAUGCGGGACCCGCGCCGCCUUCUCCGGAAGCCGGGCCGGGACACGGCGCGCCUGGGCCGCCGAGAACCCGACGCUCGUCGCCAGCCGCCGCUGUCGGUGCGCGCCGAGGGGUUGCGGAGCCGCCUGGCAGGGGCUGCAGGCCGCGAGCGACGCCGAGGAGGCGCUGAGGGUCGGCGGAGGCGAAGCUAAGCGGGCAGCGGGCGGCUGCGCAGCGGCGGGGCGCACGAGCGAGGGCUGGGUGGUGCGUCGCGGUCUAGGCGGAGAGGGAGCGGGCCCUGUCGUCUCCCAGAGUCACCCCGAUCCCAGCGCCACCAUCUUGGGAGGAACACUGAUCUCGCGACCGCGGCGCCAAACGGGAGGACGGGCUGGGCGGGCCGAGUAUCCCGGCAGGCAGCGCGCGCCGCCCGGCCGGGCGAGGGCUUCAAGCCGAGACGCGAGGAGUCGGGGCCGGACGGAACGCACGCGGAGGGCGCCGCGCUCGGCCCCACCCCCGGCCAGCUCGCCCCCCUCCGGCUUCCCGUCGCCCCCGGCGCAGGGGCGGCUGGGAAGGGGAGAUGAGGGCUCGCGGCUCGGCCGAACCCACCGGGGCCGGCCGCCAUCUUAGGACUGGGCAAAGGGGUUAACACUCACCUCACUCUGUGCUGUCGGUGGCCGAGCAGAAAGAACCAGAACUCUGCCAGGCCUUGAGAAGCAAUAAAAGAUCGACAAUCUCUAUCCCUGCUCUCAAGAAAUCAGUUCAAAAGGAAGUAAAAGUUGUGCUCUAAAAGGAGUGGAGCGAAGCCUGAUGGUGGCAUGCACCUGUAGUGCAAACUGUUCAGGAAGAUGGAUCAAGAGAUCACUUGAGCCCGGUUCAAGACUUCAAGGCCAGCCUAGGCAACAUAGCAAGGCCCUAUCUCAAGAAGGAAGAGGAGGAAAGGAAGAAAUGGAAUGUCCCCUUGCCAUUUCCCUCUGUCCCUUUCUGGUGAUUGGAAUGUGGUAAUAUUGAGCUAUCUUGGGGGGUUUGAAUGAUGUCCCCAUUGUGGUGGUAUUAACAGGCAAGGCAUUUGGGGAAGUGAUUAAGUCCUAAGAGACCUGCCUUUGUGAAUAGAUUCAUGUUUUUAUAAAAGACCUGGAAGGGCCAGAGGUGGUGGCACAUACCAGUAAUCCCAGCACUCAGGAAGCUGAAGCAGAGG
RNAcentral lists this long non-coding RNA (1284 nucleotides) under Heterocephalus glaber (naked mole-rat). Its description in RNAcentral is "lncRNA (ENSHGLG00000031891.1)". The record is from RNAcentral. Lineage: Eukaryota; Metazoa; Chordata; Mammalia; Rodentia; Bathyergidae.